UCCAAGCCAAUAGAGACAAAAUUAAACUACUUAACUUCGUAAAUGGUCCUCAAAGAUAACUCCAAAAUGCUACAUUUAUACAUCCAACUUAUCAUCAUCAUCCACUACAAGUUUUACAAGAAACCAAUACAAGAAUCGAAGUGAAAUAUUAUAGUCUCACUAAUCAGUCUGAAUUAUUUGAUAAUUACAUGUAAGUACCAUUCCCCCCAUCUCACGAUACCUUAUUUCCUUCCUGUUGGGUUGGGGGGGUUGGGGGUAACAUCGUAAAACCACAUUUUGGAGCAAAUUUGGUCUAAAACACCAUCAGAGACUCCUUCACAUCAUACCCCAGCUUCUCCAAUUUGGGCUGUACCGCAAACUGGAUCAUCGGCGGCGGCCCACAAGCCAAAGCCAGCACCUCACCGUC
RNAcentral lists this long non-coding RNA (406 nucleotides) under Linum usitatissimum (flax). Its description in RNAcentral is "long non-coding RNA (LUSI_LNC006484)". Lineage: Eukaryota; Viridiplantae; Streptophyta; Magnoliopsida; Malpighiales; Linaceae. The record is from RNAcentral.